RNAcentral lists this transfer RNA (75 nucleotides) under Agromyces aureus. RNAcentral describes it as "tRNA-Lys". It matches the Rfam family "tRNA", at positions 12 to 71 of the family's 71-position model. From Rfam's summary of the family: Transfer RNA (tRNA) molecules are approximately 80 nucleotides in length. Their secondary structure includes four short double-helical elements and three loops (D, anti-codon, and T loops). The record is from RNAcentral. Lineage: Bacteria; Bacillati; Actinomycetota; Actinomycetes; Micrococcales; Microbacteriaceae.
UCAAGCCGUGCAACAUUGCAGAGCAACUGACUCUUAAUCAGUGGGUUCUGGGUUCAAGUCCCAGGGGGUGCACGA